GCCUCGCGGAGGAGCUGGCACCGCCUACCGGGCAGCAGAAACCGACGGCCCGAGGGCGCGCUGACCCGCCAGCUGCCUUUCUCCGCAGGUUGCCGUCCAUGCACGCUGCCAUCUACACACCCGUCCCGGCCGUAGCUCACCCCCUUUUAGGCCUUCUUGCCCACGGGAACUCAACCUGGGCACCUUGCCUGAGGCGGCGGUGGAUGGUUCUGUGAGCCCCGGCGGAGAUGGAGUGGGAAUUCGAAAAGCUCUCUCGGGCAAGGAGCAGGAGAGAUGAGGAUCUGCCAUGGGAAGAAGUGAUGGGAACACUCAGCCAAGACCUCGAGCCAAGCAGAGAGAAAAGCCUGCAGACAGCAGCUCAGAUACCAAGUCCAUUCCAAUGCCUAUCCAUCAAAAUGAGUGUCAGAAGUUAAAACAAGAGAUGUGUCCAGACAUGUCAUUUCAUGACACAUUUUGCA
This is a long non-coding RNA of Pogoniulus pusillus (Red-fronted tinkerbird), 458 nucleotides long. RefSeq lists it as uncharacterized. The record is from RefSeq and is a predicted model, not a curated record. The transcript has 3 exons. NCBI's taxonomy places the organism in Eukaryota, Metazoa, Chordata, Aves, Piciformes, Lybiidae.